Molecule: ribosomal RNA, 468 nt
Filed under: uncultured bacterium
Lineage: Bacteria
Description: partial 16S ribosomal RNA
Rfam family: Bacterial small subunit ribosomal RNA
Source: RNAcentral
GACGAACGCUGGCGGCGUGCUUAACACAUGCAAGUCGAACGGAAAGGCCCUGCUUUUGUGGGGUGCUCGAGUGGCGAACGGGUGAGUAACACGUGAGUAACCUGCCCUUGACUUUGGGAUAACUUCAGGAAACUGGGGCUAAUACCGGAUAGGAGCUCCUGCUGCAUGGUGGGGGUUGGAAAGUUUCGGCGGUUGGGGAUGGACUCGCGGCUUAUCAGCUUGUCGGUGGGGUAGUGGCUUACCAAGGCUUUGACGGGUAGCCGGCCUGAGAGGGUGACCAGCCACAUUGGGACUGAGAUACGGCCCAGACUCCUACGGGAGGCAGCAGUGGGGAAUAUUGCACAAUGGGCGGAAGCCUGAUGCAGCAACGCCGCGUGCGGGAUGACGGCCUUCGGGUUGUAAACCGCUUUCGCCUGUGACGAAGCGUGAGUGACGGUAAUGGGUAAAGAAGCACCGGCUAACUACGUG